UACGGAGGGAGCUAGCGUUGUUCGGAAUUACUGGGCGUAAAGCGCGCGUAGGCGGUCCAUCAAGUCAGAGGUGAAAGCCCGGGGCUCAACCCCGGAACUGCCUUUGAAACUGGCGGACUAGAAUCUUGGAGAGGCGAGUGGAAUUCCGAGUGUAGAGGUGAAAUUCGUAGAUAUUCGGAAGAACACCAGUGGCGAAGGCGACUCGCUGGACAAGUAUUGACGCUGAGGUGCGAAAGCGUGGGGAGCAAAC
Molecule: ribosomal RNA, 250 nt
Filed under: uncultured bacterium
Lineage: Bacteria
Description: partial 16S ribosomal RNA
Rfam family: Bacterial small subunit ribosomal RNA
Source: RNAcentral